UACGUAGGGUGCAAGCGUUAAUCGGAAUUACUGGGCGUAAAGCGUGCGCAGGCGGUUUUGUAAGUCUGAUGUGAAAUCCCCGGGCUCAACCUGGGAAUUGCAUUGGAGACUGCAAGGCUAGAAUCUGGCAGAGGGGGGUAGAAUUCCACGUGUAGCAGUGAAAUGCGUAGAUAUGUGGAGGAACACCGAUGGCGAAGGCAGCCCCCUGGGUCAAGAUUGACGCUCAUGCACGAAAGCGUGGGGAG
Molecule: ribosomal RNA, 245 nt
Filed under: uncultured Janthinobacterium sp.
Lineage: Bacteria; Pseudomonadati; Pseudomonadota; Betaproteobacteria; Burkholderiales; Oxalobacteraceae
Description: partial 16S ribosomal RNA
Rfam family: Bacterial small subunit ribosomal RNA
Source: RNAcentral